Molecule: non-coding RNA, 408 nt
Organism: Nicotiana tabacum (common tobacco)
Lineage: Eukaryota; Viridiplantae; Streptophyta; Magnoliopsida; Solanales; Solanaceae
Source: RefSeq, a predicted model, not a curated record
CAACAAAAAAUAAUUACCAACAUCAAGGAGAGAACAACCAGCAAUUCCAGUUCAAUGCUGGUGAUCAACUGCAUGGAAGCACAAGCAAUACAGCUACAAUUUCUCCAGAACAUUUUCAACCACAUGUUGACUUAUAUCCUGACUUCCAAGAAGCAGCUGAGGCAUAUAAAGCAGCAGAACAUCUACAAGGAAAUAUUGAGGAAGAACCAGUAAUUGAUGAAGUGGCUGAGGCACAACAAGCAGAAGGUGAAGUUCCACAGUCGCCAAUUCACGGUGUGACUGUGACUGAAGUUGUUCCUGAAGGCAUUGAUAAAAAAGUUGUUCCUGAAGGCAUUGAAAACAAAGGUUUGACAUUGGAUGACUUUGAGCUGCCAGAAAACUUAUCACAGUUGGUCAUGUAUGGCGAGC